Molecule: long non-coding RNA, 944 nt
Filed under: Parus major (Great Tit)
Lineage: Eukaryota; Metazoa; Chordata; Aves; Passeriformes; Paridae
Description: lncRNA (ENSPMJG00000007234.1)
Source: RNAcentral
CGUUUCUCUUGAAUAAAAGAAGACUGGCAUAUUUUUCUCCUUUUUGCUGCAAGGAAGGCCUAACGAUAACACCGGAUUUGAAGCACGGUUCUCGGCGCUGAGCACACUGACGGGACCAAGAGUAUUCCAGGAAGAAACAGCUAGAAGACUUUAAAUGCCAUGUUUUUAUUGGAAUGAAGGUGAUUUUUCAAAGGUGGCUUGUAACAGAUGGUAGAAGAUGUCAAGGCUUCUUCUAAUGUUUAACUGUAAUAUGGCAUUGAUAUGGAGGAUGCACUGUCAAAAGGUACAGGAAGAAAGAAAAACACCACCUCUUGUUCAAGAAGGAGAUAAUCCCAGCUGUCGCACAGCCGCUCAGGAGAGCUGAGUCCUGUUUGAUCCAGUGGCUAAUUCCAGCUGAACAGAGCACAUCUUGUCUCUGCUGGCAUUUCAGUUUGAAGGACCUUACCACCCAAAAGCUGAUAUCUCCGUUUUUCCUUUUCCCUGCCCUGGUGGCUGGCAGUGCAGCUGCCUGCCUCUGGAGCACAAUGCAGCUGCCCCUGCACUGAACACUGGCAGCUUAAAGCAGAGUUAUGGGCAGCAGCGUUAAAGAACACGCUCUUACUCAACAGAGCAGUUCCAUGCAUACCCUGGAAUUAGAGCUGCUUAAUUUUCUGACCAAAAGCUUGUUUUUACUAUUGUUAGCACUGUAGCCAAGGAGCUCUGGGAGGGCAGGCUGGCUUCUAUUCUGUUUUGUGCAUCAUCAACCAAAUUGUCUGCUAAUUUCCUAUUGUGGAAUCUUUAUUACCAGCAGUGACCUAUGAGGCAGAAUGAAUAUUUUUGAAUUUCAAAUCUCGUGUGGAAGCUGCAGGUUGCCACCUAGAAAAAAAAAAUCUGACCUGUAAAUUUAGUAAAUAUGAUAGAAAAGUAAUUGGAAAUGAAAAAUAAGGAUCUUCAUUUUGUCUCUG